CAGAGCCCUGCUGCAGCAAACAGACCCAGCCUGGAGCCACUGCAGAGCUCAGCGAGCACCUGCUCCAGGACUGCAGAGCUCGGUUCGCUCGGAGAGCAGCGUGUGCGGGCUGAGGGAGGCGAUGGAGGAGCCCGGAGCCGGGGGAUGGAGGCAGUGCCGCCGGAGGGCUCGGCGUGGCAGGCACCGAGAGGUGCCCUGAGCUGCUGUUUCUGUGCCCUGCGCUCUCCAUUUCCCACCCUUCCCCUUAACACCUUUUUCCUGUCCCUUGCUGGUUGUCCCCAGGAGCUCCUGCCUUUCCAGCGGCUCCCGCAGAGCAGGAGCAAGGAGCCGAGAGCCCCCCCUCGGUGCCCGCUGUCCGUGUCUCGGCUCUGAGCACGGGAUUCUCCAUCCCGGGGAUGCUGCGGCGCUGCCGUUCCGCUGCUCUGCCGCCAGAGAGCGGACGGGGAUUUCCAUCCUUGCCGGGACCAUCCCGCUGUCCCGGGACAGCCCAGGACAUCCCUACAGCGCCCGGAAUCCUCCCCGGGACAACACGAUACCAUCGGUACGUCCUGGUACCGUCGGGACCCCUCCGGUGCUGCCGGGGUCCCUCCAGUACCGAUCUCUCCAGAGCACAUUUAAUGCCCUCUUCCUCUUCCUCUUCUUUUUUAGCUAUUGCUUUUACCCAAUACAAAAUUCUCAACCAUUCCAGGGCACUUUACUCCUGUCCGUGGGUGACAAAUUCUUCUGGGCAAGACUUCAAUUAUUAAUUAAUGUUUUUAAGAGAAAAGCUGUUUAAAUUGGAUAAAAUUAUGGAUCUUCAGCUCCUGCAGCCUCACUCUGUGAGCAGUGUGGAAUGAUUCCAUUCCAGUCACAUCUCCAGGAGCUUGUUUUCAGGAUCCUUCACAUUCUCAUUCCUGAUGUGGGUGAGCAGCAAUGUCUGGAGACAAUUCCAUGCAGGCAGGAAGAAUAUGCAGUGUAUCUUUUGUGGAGAUUCCCCUUGUUUGGUGGUUUCCCAAACUGAAAUGGAGGAGGAUGUUUUUCCUAUGCACUGAAGGCCGUGUUUGUACCACCUACGAAUUUCUUCAGCUUCAAAACAGCCCUGAGUAAACAGCUGAGGGCUUUGCCAACUCAGUGUUUCCAGCACUUGGAUCUUCCUGUUGAAGAGAUCCCUCAGCAAAGGACAACCUCUUGCUUUAAUUCUUGCUGCUUAGUUCCAGCAGAAAAUCCUUCUCCUGCCUCUGUUCCCAGCCUGAAUCUGUGACGAUGGGGACAAAGGCUCUUCUCUGCCCAGCCCUGCCAGGAGCAGCCAGCCCAAAAUGGAUGUUUGUAUUAAUCCAACACACAAAAUGUGCAACCUGAACUGUGUGCAGAAACGAGUGGAAAAAGUGCAACCUGACCACAAAAGUAUUAUUUUAUAAAUAAGGUCCUUUAGUAGUAGUUAAUUGGAUGCACAUUUUGCUGGAUUCGUGGAACAUUAAAAACUAUCAUAUCCGAA
Haemorhous mexicanus (house finch) is the source of this 1474-nucleotide long non-coding RNA. RefSeq lists it as uncharacterized. Lineage: Eukaryota; Metazoa; Chordata; Aves; Passeriformes; Fringillidae. The transcript is spliced from 3 exons. The record is from RefSeq and is a predicted model, not a curated record.